AUUGAACGCUGGCGGCAUGCCUUACACAUGCAAGUCGAACGGCAUCGCGGGAAAGCUUGCUUUCCUGGCGGCGAGUGGCGAACGGGUGAGUAACACAUCGGAACGUACCGGCUAGUGGGGGAUAGCCCGUCGAAAGACGGGCUAAUACCGCAUACGCUCUUCGGAGGAAAGCAGGGGACCUUUGGGCCUUGCGCUAGCCGAGCGGCCGAUGUCCGAUUAGCUAGUUGGUGGGGUAAAGGCCUACCAAGGCGACGAUCGGUAGCGGGUCUGAGAGGACGAUCCGCCACACUGGGACUGAGACACGGCCCAGACUCCUACGGGAGGCAGCAGUGGGGAAUUUUGGACAAUGGGGGCAACCCUGAUCCAGCAAUGCCGCGUGGGUGAAGAAGGCCUUCGGGUUGUAAAGCCCUUUCGGCAGGGAAGAAAUCGGCGGGGCGAAUAACCCUGCUGGAUGACGGUACCUGCAGAAGAAGCACCGGCUAACUACGUG
Molecule: ribosomal RNA, 490 nt
Filed under: uncultured bacterium
Lineage: Bacteria
Description: partial 16S ribosomal RNA
Rfam family: Bacterial small subunit ribosomal RNA
Source: RNAcentral